This is a long non-coding RNA of Polypterus senegalus (gray bichir), 744 nucleotides long. RefSeq lists it as uncharacterized. Lineage: Eukaryota; Metazoa; Chordata; Cladistia; Polypteriformes; Polypteridae. The record is from RefSeq and is a predicted model, not a curated record. The transcript is spliced from 4 exons.
CCUUCAUGUUAGUGAAUUUUCUCUUCGGCCAGGAGAAGUCUCAGAUGUGUAUGACAGUGCAAGGUGCUUUAGGUCAGCGAGAUUAAAGCCAUCUUUCUGAUUUCAUUCUCCAUUUGAUGUCGACAGUUUCCAGCCAGGAAGGCUUGUGAAGAUCAACAUCAUCAAAGUAUGAAACUCACAUGGAGAAGUACCUCCUGCAAAUCAACUGGAGCACAUACUGUCAGUGUGUCACUGUAGAGCACUGGUGUUACUGUUCCUCUCCCAACUUCUUCUUCUCAGAGCUGUGCUUCAAAGUACAUCUUGCUGUUGUUGCGAGAAGGAGCAGACCGCCUGAAGCUAUCGUCCAUCAUUGGUCUUUAAUCAUCUGGGAACAUUGUAUCUGUUCGAGCAAAAGAGGAUGACAUGGCAAUGCCUCAGGCUAUCAAUUACUUUAUAACCUGAGAAAGGAUGGACAUCUGGGACAAUAAGUUACUAAAUGAGUUUACAGCCUGGGAAAGGAAGACAUGCCAGUAGAAUUUGAUAAUAAAUAUUCAUCGUCUGAAGAGUGACAUAGGAGGGAUGACGAAGAAGGGACGAAAACAUCAGGAGAAGGGAACAGAGCAACGUCAGAAGUGGGUGCUGGCAACAUGCGUCCGUUUCCAUCUGAUUGUCAGAAAACCGUCUAUUGAACAACUACAAGUGCCAGAUCACAAGCUGCCUGCGACAUUCAUCCUUGUCAUCUUUAACGUUUUGUAAGCUUUUUCU